AUGGAAUAGGCCAAUGAUGCAGCAAGAGAAUUGAAGGUUAGACUACAGGCAGGACUUCCUAGAGAUCAGGUUUAUUCCACUGGCUGGGCACUCCCAUUCCAGGCCCACUGUUUAUCCCCCAUCUUCCCUGCCCUCUCAGCGUCUGCCUUCAUACCUGUCCCUGCACUUUCCUAAGCCUGAGAUGAUGGGAAAUUUCCUACUUUUCCCAGAUCCUCCCACCUCCCUGCCAUCAUAACCCCCAUCUCCCCCACUGUGUCUGGAUAUCAUUCCCUAGGGUCAGAGUUGGGAGAGGAGUGGCACAACCAGAUGCUUAGGGCCUCUCUCUGACCUUUCAGAGGGACGAGGUUCUUGAUGGGGCCAGAUUAGAGGUGGGGAGACCAGCUCCAGGCAUCGGGGUGCUUGGGAGGACUGUUCUGGGGCUGGAGUGGGGACCAUUGGGCAGGAGCAGCCAGUGCCCACCGGGUGCUGGGAAGACUGUUUGCCAUGCAUCUGAGCUGUGCCAGGGCCUGGGCCUGGCCCCCUUCUGGUGCCCUCCCUCCCUUCUCUCUGGGCUGGAGCUGGAGCUGCUCACAGACCUGGCUCCCAUCUCUCUGACGGGCAGCCCAGAGACCCAUAUAGUUGGAGUCAUUUUGGGGCCAACACCCUGGACCACCCUUUCACCUCUGUCUGACAGUGGGAGAGUGAGGGAAGAGGGCCUAAGGCCAGUGAGGACCUAACUGCUCUGGAACAUGGAGGGCAACCUACCCUUGACCCCAAAAAUGGGAGUCAUUGACCAGUGAGGCCAAGAGGGUAGCCCCGUGCAGUUCUGAGAGAGCUCUGUCUCUCCAGUCUCGGGCCUCAGCCUCCCAAUUGCAGCUAGGAGCCCUGAGGAAACUCAGACUUCCCCACAUCUGGUACCAGCCUCGGAACCCAGGGGUCCAGGGUUCUGUGGCCUUCUCUAUCCCACACACCACUCAUCUCCACUUCCUCUUCUCUUCCUCCAGAGCAGGCCACACCUCUCCAACUCUAACCCUGAGAGCUCAGCAGUCAUGCGGUCCGUUCCCUUGACGCCACAACAUCCCCCUCUCUGUUUCAGCUCCAGCGUCUGUAUCUCUGCCCUUGUUUUGAAUUUCUUGAGCUGUUCAGGAAACUUUCCUCUUGUCACAUCAUUUCUGUCUGACCCUGGAUGUCCAUCUCCUUCACAGUCUUCAUAGACCCAACCCAGAGAGUUAAGACCAGGUCUCUCUCUCUCUCUCUCUCUCUCUGUGUGUGUGUGUGUGUGUGUGUGUGUGUAGGCAUGCACGUGUGUACACACAUCUAACAACACCCACCACCUCCAUGCUGAAUGCCCAUCAGCCGGCAGCCAAGGUCUGUCCCAUAGGAACUGAGCUCCAGCACUCAGCAGGGUCAGCAGGGAGGCACAAGAAGCCAGAGCUUUGGCUAUAGCAGGAGGGAAGCUCUCUGCUACCCCCUUAACGGCUUCAUGAGGAGCAACAUGAGCCUACACAAUAUAAGCAGGGCCUUAGGGCCUGUAGGAGUAAUUGCAAUCAUCAUAUAAAUAGUCCUUUUUAUUGGAAGCAAAACUAAUAAUACUAUUAGCAAUGACACCAGCCGAGCAGUUGCAGAUCCCUCUCGUAAAGAAUCUGAAAUGUGGAUGAUGCUGUUAUAAAUAGCAAAGUUAGCCAUAGCAACAUAGGCACUGGUAAUACUGUGGGUGGGUCUAAGGGUAACACUGUUCCCUGAUCUUACUGUCAUCAUCUGCAAUCUAAGUAAUGCAGAUAAUAAUGGUGCCCCUUGGACUUGACGCCAAUCUCUUGGUCCUAUUAGAACCAUGUAGGCAGAGCUAUUCCAAUAGGUGGGGGAAUACCUGACAGGAUAUGGAAAUACCUGGGAGAGGGAAUUCCCAGGCCCCUGGCAGUGCUAGGAAGGAAUGCAAUAGUGGUAACCGAAUUCCAGCUAAUAGUUACUGAUGUCUACCUGAGCCAGUUCUCCUAAAUGCUUCCUGUGGAUAACCUCAACUGUGAGAAAAAGAUUGUUUAUGUUUUGCUCAUGACACCGAUGAGGAACCCGAGGUUCAGAGAAGUCAACUAACUACCCCAAGGUCACAGAGCAAGGAGCCGAGUUGGGAUUCCAGCCGAAAUGGGCACCCCGACCACCCCCUAGAGCGGCUCUGAUCGGCUGUCCUGCCGGACUACAGUAAGGUGUCCCCAGAAGGGUUGCUGGCCGCUGCUCCUGGAGCUGCCAGUGCGUGGGGGCACGGAGGCAAGGACUGAUCCGGAACGCUACCGCCCUGCCUGGGACAAGGUCGGAAAUCUCGGCGGCCGCGCUGGGACAGGAGCGCGCAGCAGGGAAGACGCGAGGACCCGAGGGGUUGCUGAUCAGACUGCGAGCAGCAGGGGGGCUGCCACUGGCAGAGCUGGAAGCAUGUAGAUCAGAGAUGGCAGCAGCAGCUGCAGGCGCUCGGGGCUGUCCGGCAGCCUACCCCGCUGCGGUGUCAGGAGUCGACGAGUUGGGUGCCCCAGAGCCUCGAGGCAAGGGCUGACAGGCGGGGGGCGCAGACCAGGCAGGCACUCCCUUCUCCCUGUCCCCGACCCCACGGCGGGCGGCGGGGCUGCGGAGGCACUCACCUACCCAGGGCUGGGGUUGGGUCGCGGCACUGCGAAGUUUGUCGCCUCCUCCGGGGGUCUCCUCCGGGUGCACGGCUCAGUCCUGCAGCUGCAGCUGAGACUGCGGCGGAGACUGCGCGAGCGUGAGGAGAGGCUGGGGCCGCAGGACAUUCGGAAGAGGGCGCCGGCCCUCCCGGCGCAGCACAAAACCCCCUUUCUUCCCCCCGCCCCUGCCCCGCCCUCCCCGGGGCCGCCCCCGCCCCCUGGUCGGGAGCGCGGGGCUCUCGGGACGGUCACGGGACCCGCUGCCUUCUCUGCUUCGGCUCCCGGCAGCAGCGGCAAGAGCAAGGACGAGCGAAAUAGGACAUCGUUCAGCGGAUGAGAAGCCGAGGGCUUGGAGUAGGGAGGAGGGGCAGGAGGGGCGGGGAGGGAGCGUUCGCCCAGCGUUCGCUGAGCUAAAGGAUGACGAUGUUGCAGCUGGAGGGGUGGAAGUUGGACAACUGGAGGGUCUUCUCGUUGUUCAAAGAAGGAGGAGGAGGGAGUCAAUUAGACUGUAAGAAGUGGAUGAAAGGAGAAUGGGGGCUUUGCUCCUGAAAAGAGACACCCUCUCUAAUAAAAAAAAAAUGGAAAACUC
This 3219-nucleotide non-coding RNA is filed under the name Pan troglodytes (chimpanzee). The record is from RNAcentral. Lineage: Eukaryota; Metazoa; Chordata; Mammalia; Primates; Hominidae.